GUAUUACUUACGCAAAAAAAACGAAGCUAAAAGAUAUCGAAGACAGAACUUUUGCAAACAGUUUACGGCACAUCACGGAAGAAGUCGAUAAAGAUGCGAUUAUUUGGUACUUUUUGUCCAGUCUGAUACCAGGACCCUACAUUACAAAGCUAGCUAGCGAUACACAACAACAGUUAGGCAAGGAAAAUAAUCCAUCAGCAGCAAAAAAGAGAAAAAUCACAAAACGACGAGUAACCCCUGCGGAAGCUCGUUAUUCUUCUUUUUUAAUUUUGCCGAAUCUUGCGGAAAUAGAAGAAGCUGUCAAACAACGGCAGGAAUACCUUGCCAAAAAUAAUUUAUCGUGCCAGCCUAUAGCUGUUCUUAUAGGAUCUAUCGAUAAAGUUGUAGACUCAUACGUUUACAUUGAAAAUAAACGUUACAGAACGAAAUCGACAUUAGCUGCUCUCGAUUUGACUUUUAAAAGUUUCUUCACCUUAGAUUGUGAAUACCCGGUUGCAGGAGUGCAUGUGUGGACCUUUCUCCAGCAGGUUGUAUAUAAUCUUCAUUAUUUUAAAAAAGACUUUACUUCUACCAGUUAUAAAGACUUUGUAAGUGAUUUUAAACAAGUGAAAUGAUUCGAUAUUGAGUAUGAUUCACUAUGAAUCAAAGUUUUGACAUAUAUCUUAUUUUGAA
This is a long non-coding RNA of Microplitis demolitor, 672 nucleotides long. RefSeq lists it as uncharacterized. NCBI's taxonomy places the organism in Eukaryota, Metazoa, Arthropoda, Insecta, Hymenoptera, Braconidae. The record is from RefSeq and is a predicted model, not a curated record. The transcript has 3 exons.